CCAAUAGCGUAUAUUAAAGUUGUUGCAGUUAAAAAGCUCGUAGUUGAAUUUCGGGAUCAAUAUGUCGGUCGUGCCUUCGGUACGUACUGGUAUCAUUGGUCUCUCCUUUCUGACGAACCAUGAUGUCAUUAAUUUGGUGUUAUGGGGAGUUAGGACUGUUACUUUGAAAAAAUUAGAGUGUUUAAAGCAGGCUUUAGCUUGAAUACAUUAGCAUGGAAUAAUGAAAUAGGACGUUCGAACCUAUUUUGUUGGUUUCUAGGAUCAACGUAAUGAUUAAUAGGGAUAGUUGGGGGCAUUAGUAUUCAAUUGUCAGAGGUGAAAUUCUUGGAUUUAUUGAAGACUAACUACUGCGAAAGCAUUUGCCAAGGAUGUUUUCAUUAAUCAAGAACGAAAGUUAGGGGAUCGAAGACGAUCAGAUACCGGCGUAGUCUUAACCAUAAACUAUGCCGACUAGGGAUCGGAUGAUGUUAAUUUUUUAAUGACUCAUUCGGCGCCUUAC
Molecule: ribosomal RNA, 499 nt
Filed under: uncultured Glomeromycotina
Lineage: Eukaryota; Fungi; Glomeromycota
Description: partial small subunit ribosomal RNA
Rfam family: Eukaryotic small subunit ribosomal RNA
Source: RNAcentral